RNAcentral lists this ribosomal RNA (305 nucleotides) under uncultured bacterium. Its description in RNAcentral is "partial 16S ribosomal RNA". It matches the Rfam family "Bacterial small subunit ribosomal RNA", at positions 505 to 809 of the family's 1533-position model. The record is from RNAcentral.
ACAGCAGUCGCCACGGUAAAACGGAGGGUGCAAGCGUUAAUCGGAAUUACUGGGCGUAAAGCGCACGCAGGCGGUCUGACAAGUCAGAUGUGAAAUCCCCGGGCUUAACCUGGGAACUGCAUUUGAAACUGUCAGGCUGGAGUCUUGUAGAGGGGGGUGGAAUUCCAGGUGUAGCGGUGAAAUGCGUAGAGAUCUGGAGGAAUACCGGUGGCGAAGGCGGCCCCCUGGACAAAGACUGACGCUCAGGUGCGAAAGCGUGGGGAGCAAACAGGAUUAGAUACCCGCGUAGUCCCUGUCUCUUAUAA